RNAcentral lists this ribosomal RNA (582 nucleotides) under uncultured Pseudomonas sp. RNAcentral's name for it is "bacterial SSU rRNA". It matches the Rfam family "Bacterial small subunit ribosomal RNA", at positions 102 to 680 of the family's 1533-position model. The record is from RNAcentral. Lineage: Bacteria; Pseudomonadati; Pseudomonadota; Gammaproteobacteria; Pseudomonadales; Pseudomonadaceae.
ACGGGUGAGUAAUGCCUAGGAAUCUGCCUGGUAGUGGGGGAUAACGUUCGGAAACGGACGCUAAUACCGCAUACGUCCUACGGGAGAAAGCAGGGGACCUUCGGGCCUUGCGCUAUCAGAUGAGCCUAGGUCGGAUUAGCUAGUUGGUGAGGUAAUGGCUCACCAAGGCGACGAUCCGUAACUGGUCUGAGAGGAUGAUCAGUCACACUGGAACUGAGACACGGUCCAGACUCCUACGGGAGGCAGCAGUGGGGAAUAUUGGACAAUGGGCGAAAGCCUGAUCCAGCCAUGCCGCGUGUGUGAAGAAGGUCUUCGGAUUGUAAAGCACUUUAAGUUGGGAGGAAGGGCAGUUACCUAAUACGUAAUUGUUUUGACGUUACCGACAGAAUAAGCACCGGCUAACUCUGUGCCAGCAGCCGCGGUAAUACAGAGGGUGCAAGCGUUAAUCGGAAUUACUGGGCGUAAAGCGCGCGUAGGUGGUUUGUUAAGUUGGAUGUGAAAUCCCCGGGCUCAACCUGGGAACUGCAUUCAAAACUGACUGACUAGAGUAUGGUAGAGGGUGGUGGAAUUUCCUGUGUAGCG